This 423-nucleotide ribosomal RNA is filed under the name uncultured prokaryote. Its description in RNAcentral is "bacterial SSU rRNA". It matches the Rfam family "Bacterial small subunit ribosomal RNA", at positions 355 to 796 of the family's 1533-position model. The record is from RNAcentral.
UGGGGAAUCUUGGACAAUGGGGGCAACCCUGAUCCAGCGACGCCGCGUGGGUGGUAAGGCCUUCGGGUUGUAAAGCCCUUUCACCGGGGAAGAUGAUGACAUUACCCGGAGAAGAAGCGCCGGCUAACUCCGUGCCAGCAGCCGCGGUAAGACGGAGGGCGCUAGCGUUGUUCGGAAUCACUGGGCGUAAAGGGCGCGUAGGCGGCUGUUUAAGUCGAGGGUGAAAGCCCGGGGCUCAACCUCGGAACUGCCUUUAAAACUGAUACUCUAGAGUCCGGAAGAGGGUCGCGGAAUUCCCAGUGUAGAGGUGAAAUUCGUAGAUAUUGGGAAGAACACCGGUGGCGAAGGCGGCGACCUGGUCCGGUACUGACGCUGAGGCGCGAAAGCGUGGGGAGCAAACAGGAUUAGAUACCCGCGUAGUCC